Choloepus didactylus (southern two-toed sloth) is the source of this 2948-nucleotide long non-coding RNA. RefSeq lists it as uncharacterized. The transcript has 3 exons. Lineage: Eukaryota; Metazoa; Chordata; Mammalia; Pilosa; Megalonychidae. The record is from RefSeq and is a predicted model, not a curated record.
ACCCGCAGCUGUCCUGGCCGGGCCUGCCCUGGGUGUGCCGAGCCUCAGUUUCCCUUGGGAGAGGGUCUCUGCCCACACUUGGGAUCGGAGACGGCGAUUGGUGCCGUGCCCGCUGCCCCGCACACCCAGACCCUCCCCCGGCCGCAUUUUGUUUGACGCUGAGACGAGCCCGCUCCUGGCUGCACUGUGGCACGUGUGACACCAAAUCUGCCGUUUCACCUGUGUGAGAUGCACGAUUCAAUGGCGUUUACUGCAUUUCACGUCGUGCAACCACCGCCUCUCAGCUUCCAGACAUUUCCCUCACCCUCAGAAGGAGACCCCACCCCCGUUGGCAGUUCCCCUCCAGUCCCCCAGCCCCUGGCAGCCACAGUCUGCCCUCCAAGCCCGUGGACUUGCUGGGUGUGGACACGUUGGUGUCUGAGGACACGGGACACGGGCACGAGGCCAGCCCAGCCGUGGCGAUGGUGGUCAUGGAGGCGAGUGGGCCGCGGUGCUCUGCACCCAGGAGCUGGCCGGGGAGGCGCGGCCUGUGGCCGGGGCAGCUCCUUACCCAGACAGAGGCCCCCGAGCUGAGCCGGAGGCCCGACAGGCAGCUGGCACGGACCUGCGUGCUUGCGGGCAGCUGUCGACCCUCCUUCCCCUCGGCCACCCCCUGCCCAGCCCCUCUCUGGAGCCUGCUGGGGCUCCCCCCGCCCCGGCCUCCUUCCAAGUAGGGGGGCUGCCAUGAAGGCUCGAGGACACUCGGCCGGGUCAGUCGGACAGUUCCCGAGCCUCGGGAGGUGCACGGCCACAGCACCGGCGGCUGAUAGACCCCUGGCUCCUCCAGGGACCCCUCCAUCAGACCCUCAGGUGCCCACAUCUUCUAGAAGCUCUGUCCUGGGCGCUGGGAGGCUUGUCCUCGGCUGGAGGCUGGAGGUGGCCAAGAAGGCAGAGGAAGAGCCGUGAUCUGGUCGGACCUGCAGGCCCUGGUGGGGGCAGCCCCGGCCAUGGGGGCCCCUGGUGCUGAGGCCCAAGGGGCCGAGCUGACUCCUCCGAGGCCUGGGGACAUGGGGGCUUCUCCGUGUGCCUGCUCCAGUCCUUACGUAUUUGUUGUAAUGUGUGGACACCAACUUCGCGGGCAGCGUGGCUUGGGGGCUGAGAGCCUGAGAAACGCAUCCCGGUCCCCGUGCGUGUCCAAGGGAAAUCAGCCCCCAUCACUUCAUCCUGUCGCCAAGCUCAUGGCCCGAGGAGCCCCCAUCCCUGCCGCAUCUGACGUGCGGAGUGGACCGUGCUUUCCGGGCUAACGCGGAGCCGGCGCGGCCAGCGGCCCUAAUUGGGCAGGCGCCGGGUUCCAUACACCAGGCCCCGUGGGCACAAGGCGCCACCGGCUGUGCCAGGGGGCGCGGGAGGGGGCUCCUGCCUGUGUGCCGUGGCAAUGGAAAAGGAGGUGGACCAGCUGGUCUCCGGAGGAUUUUCCAGCUGGACUCUCGAGUUUCCGGCAUCUUCUACUCAUCACCCAUGAGCUCAUAGUGACCAAGGCCUGCCCAGCCCUGUCCAUCGUCUGGGCCCUGUGCAUGGGACAGAGGGAGAGUGGGAGCCACAGAAGGUGCUUGAGGAGGAGAGGCUCUCCAUGGGGAGGCCCCUGCCACAGACCCAGCCAAGCCGGGGCCAGGCGGGGUGUGGGCUGGACGGGGCAGGGAGAGGGCUGGGGCUCGACCCGGGGCUUUGGACCCUGGGUGUGUGGGGAGGGGAACCCGUUGAGCCUGGGCUGGACCCACAGACAGGGCACCAGUGGCAGGGAGACGCUGGCUGAGGCCUGGGCUCAAGAGUGGCACCAAGGUCCCCCGGGGUCUUCUCCACGUCCUCCCGGUUGUCCUGCCCGCCCGGGUGUUUUUCCUCCUGAGCCGCCUGGGGCUGGGCCUGGAGCCCCUGUGUGUUUGGCUGCACCUGAGGCCUGGCUCCCCCUCCAAGGUGACCCCAAGACCCUCCUGCAUCCCGCCCCAGCCGCCAAGGCCUCGGGAGCCGGCCCCGCUCGUGGGAGGCUCCUUCCUCUCCCCUCCCUGCUGGCUCCCCGCCCCAGGCCAGGGCUGCCUUCUUUCUGGAAAUCUCUGCACCUCACCCUCCUGGCUAACGUCUUCCAUGAGGUCUCGGCAUAAACCCCACGCCCCGUGGCCUCCUGGGCCCUCACUGGCACGCUCGUCCUCCGAGCCCCUGUGGGCACCGCGUGCGUCUUCUUCCCGGCCCAGGUCACGUCUCGUGGCUCUGCUGGCCUCCGUGUGCGGUGGCAGGUGUCAGCCCCCCGAGGAAGGGAUCACUGCGACCAUCGCAGCCACUGUGCACGGGGACAUGGGGUCACGGGGGGUCCCCAUCUCCACUUUGGAGAUGGGAAGCAGAGGCUCACGGCACCAGAACCCUCCCUGGCUCCCCCACCGUGGGGCCCUUGCAGGCGGCUGAGGUGGGGGCUCGGCCGGGCAGGGGAGCAGGCGCCAGAGCUAACGGUGGGCGGAGGCGGGGGCCACCGGCUGGGAGAGCCUGAGGACCACGCAGUGCUGCACACACGUGCACACACACUCGUGCACACACAGACACAAGCGCACGGGCGGCAGAGUCGGGGGGGCUGGGUGUGGGCAGGUGACCGGUGGCGGGUCUGACGGGCGUCCCAGGCUCGGCCCAUGGUGUGCCGGCCGCUGGCUUGUCCGCAGACCUGCUUCCUUCCCCCUGCCCCGCUCCAGGAGGGGGUGAACCUGCUCUGAGCACCCCGUCUGCCAGCACGUGCUACGGGCCGGGAGGCACCUGGGGAAGGACAGACGGUCUCUGUCCUCGGGACCGAAAGUCCAGUUGGAGGGCAAGUUCUGGGGAGGCAGUUCUUAGCUUGACGUAAGAAUAACUUUUACAGCACACGUUUACCAGCGGGAUGAAUGACUAAAUGAAGGCGGCGAGUUCCUUCCGCUCGAAAGAUCCUGGCAAAG